GCAGUGAAAGCACAUCCUCCUGUCAGUCUCUUGAACAUGGCUCAGUCCCAGAAAUUCUCAUUGGUCUCCUCUACAAUGCCACAACUGGAAGGCUGUCCGCAGAAGUGAUAAAAGGCAGCCACUUCAAAAACCUGGCAGCCAACAGGCCACCCAAUACAUAUGUUAAAUUAACUCUACUGAAUUCCAUGGGUCAAGAGAUGUCCAAAUGCAAGACAUCCAUCCGCAGAGGGCAGCCAAAUCCAGUAUACAAGGAGACGUUUGUGUUUCAAGUGGCCCUGUUUCAGCUCUCUGAUGUGACUCUCAUACUGUCAGUGUAUAACAAACGCAGCAUGAAAAGGAAAGAGAUGAUAGGCUGGGUUUCUUUAGGCCUGAACAGCUCUGGAGAAGAGGAACUCAACCACUGGACUGAAAUGAAAGAGUCCAAAGGACAGCAGGUCUGCAGAUGGCAUGCGUUGCUAGAGUCGUGAUGAGCAGGAGGAAGGAGCAAGUACAGUUCAAGGCAGCAGCAUUUCUGAGUGCAACCUUACUGUUUUUACCUAGUCACCGUUAGAAGAGCUAUUCUUUGAAGAAUCAUCUUUAACAUUCUCCCCCAAAGCUUUAAGUUCUGUGGAACGAACGUCUAAUACUGACAUAAAUGAAGAAAAGAUGGGUCUCUAGCAGAACUUGUUUGAGAAAAUGAGAAACUUGCAUCCUCUUUGCUAAACUAGCAGUCCUCCAGAGCUUUCAGAGCAUCCUUUUGAUUUGAGGUUAAUUUUACUGUAGCAAAAGAGCCAGUAAUUUCAUGGAAAGUCAAGAUGAUAAAUGAUUUUGAAAAUCAGAAUUUUUAGCUGCAGCACUCUGUUAGUGUCACCCUACAUAUGAUCCACAAAACUGGCUCGUCUCUGGUGUGUGUAAUCUUCUUUAAUAUAAGAAAGUCAUCCUGCAUCAGUCAAGUCUAAUGGUGAAGGCUUUCAGUCACAUUGUAAAUUGUUUUAUUUCAGAUUAUUUUCCUUUUCAUUGUGCCUCAGUUCUUCUCAAUAGCACUAAAUCUAAGUGCAAGCAAGUAUUCAUUUUCAUAAGGGAAUUUUUUUAAUGUAUUAUUUUAAGAAAAGUUCACUUCUUCAAUUGCCUCUGAUUUUGCCUGAUCCAAAGAGACCAAGUCACUGUACUGGUCCUUUGCAAGUCUUCUAGACAGGUUGUACUGUAGAACCAUGUAACUUUCUGUUGAAAGCACUUCCUGUAUUCUUGUAUUCCAAUGUAGGAAGCUAAUAGAGCAGGACUUUACUUAAAAAUCUCUUUCAAUGAUUGACUGUUUAAAAUUGUAGUAAUGUGAAAGUAACAUUUUUUUUACAAACUAAAAAAAUAUAUAGUGAAUAAGCUGUUGAAAACUGAAAAUAAUUCAAGUUAAAGGAAAUUUUAAUCAUCUGCUCUGAGUGUUUAGUGACCAACACUGCAUAAAGCAGGUAGCGUUCAAAUAAGAAACAGUUCUCUCUUCUUCACUCUUCCUUCAGUUUGUAUUUGUGAUAUAAAGACUCUUCCGUUCUAAGUUUGAAUCAGAACAAUAUAAACAGUUCUGAGAUUCCUUAAAAUGUUUCUAGUAACUUGCGACUAGAUUUUAUGAAAUUUACAGAUAACGUUCUCCAACGUGAUGUCAUCCUGUGCCUUCCGUGUAAGUUAAAUUUGCUCAUACAGCUUGAAAGCUGUAUUUGCAAAAUUAGGCCUUCAAUUUUUAUAAAUGUAAAGAAUAGAUUCCUCAGAACAGUGUCACAAGAUCUUUAUUUCCUCUGAAGUAUGUAAAAGUUGUAUAAUGUGCUAAUUUUUUAAAAUGGCAAGGCAUUUGUUGUUUUUAUAUUUAGGAACUCUGAUUAUCAGGAAUAUUAUAAGCUGUUUUCUUUUUAAUUUUGCCUCUUACCCAAUAUAUAAUUUUAUGCACAUACUUUAUUAAAUAGAAUAUGUUUUGUAUAUAUGAAAAAUAUUUUUUUUCUCUUUAUAAUUUCCUAGUUAAAUUAGACAAAACAGACUAUUUACCAGUUAUUCAAAAGCAGUAUAUCAUUGUUCCUAGUCCCAACUAAGUACUAUGUAUUAUUGUAAGCUAGAACUUGUUAUUACCAUAAUAAAAAAAAUGCAUAGAUAUUAUUA
This is a non-coding RNA of Odocoileus virginianus texanus, 2118 nucleotides long. NCBI's taxonomy places the organism in Eukaryota, Metazoa, Chordata, Mammalia, Artiodactyla, Cervidae. The record is from RefSeq and is a predicted model, not a curated record.